Molecule: long non-coding RNA, 2207 nt
Organism: Eriocheir sinensis (Chinese mitten crab)
Lineage: Eukaryota; Metazoa; Arthropoda; Malacostraca; Decapoda; Varunidae
Exons: 3
Source: RefSeq, a predicted model, not a curated record
GGGGGGGGCUCCACUCACACAGCUCUCCUGGACAGAGUAGAGUCUAAGGCCCACAAACAUAAACAUUCCCUUCCCCCUUCCGUGGGCAUGAGGAUCCUUUGUCACACAAACCGUAAUCUUAGAGUGUUUUGGGCCGCGACGGAACCCGCCGCAUCACGGGGGAAGGGGAGACACGAAGGAACAGCAGACGGCGCCUCUUCCCCCUUCCCGCUCCCUGACGCUGAGACUUCCUCUGUAUUUUUCUUCGCAUUAUUGGACGAGCUAUCUGAGAACAUGGACGAGUAUCAACAGUUGUGGGAUAACUGGGAACCUUAGGAUCAAUUGGAUGAGGAGCUGGAUGAUCAGGCAGAUGCCCAGGGAGUUAUCGGACGUACACGUCGCAGGAUUGUUAAAGGCUGUCCUGUUCCGCCACACCUGCAAACCCUGAUUGCAGUACGUUGCAUGGCAACGGGGGACCACCAGAUGACAUUAGGGGACUGCCAUGAUGUGUCGCAAAUGACUGUCAGCAGAUGUUUGAAGAUUGUGUCAAGAGCAAUCGUUAGUUUGAGCUAGUGUUAUAUAAAACCUCCUUGCGGCAAUGACCUGCGGCGAACAAAUGAACAAUUCCAUGACAUCAGUGGAAUGCCUGGUUUGGUAGGGGCAAUUGAUUGCACAUAUACCUCUAUACUGAGACCAUCUGUGGAAAACCCUGAGAUGUUUAGGUGUAGAAAAUUAUUUUUUUCAUUAAAUGUCCAAGCUGUGUGUGUGCCAGACCUGCAGUUUCAUAAUGUUGUUGCCCGUUGGCCUGGGAGCGUCCUUGACAGUCGAAUUUUUUAAAACAGCAGGCUCUGUGCUGAAAUAGAAGUUAAUUUAAAUCCCAGGUAUCAUCUACUUGGGGAUGCAGGAUGUCCCUUGAAAAGGUAUCUAAUGACACCUGUGUCAUUUCCAGAUAAUGCUCAUAAGAGAGCUUACGAUAUAACUACAGUCAUUCCCAAACCAGAAACACUGUUGAACGGGCAUUUGGGGUAUUAAAAAGGAGGUUUGGGUACUUAAGGAAGAGAGUCAGGACAAAUUUAGACAUCACCAAAACUAUUGUAGUUGCUUGUGUGGUACUACACAAUAUUGCGGUGAAAACUAGGCUGGUUUUGCCACAAGAUGGAAGGGAUGUGAACAUAAAUGUCAAUAACAUCCCUAAUGAGGUUCCUGCACAUAUACAAGGAAAUGUAGAAGGCAGAUGGAAACGGUAGCAAAUCAUCAGGGACUUCUUCUAAGGGCCGCUUUCACAGUCACGUUUGUUUGUGUUGAUCGUUACCAAUGAGCGGCGAUCGCCGCUACCAACAAGAAAUCCGCUUUCACAGUCGUCUUUCGCGGCGCUGUUUGCUUGCAUCAGUACCAGAGAUUGGAACCUCUGGUAACGGAGCUCUGGUAGCCGCGGGGGCUCCCCAGUGGAGCUUACCAAUGACAUUAAUUAGUAAAUAAUACAAAUUCUUGCUCUCAAAUGGUUAUAAUAUUUUGUUUUCAAAUAGAUGUGAAACAUAUUAAACAAUACAGCAACACGUUGCACGGCUUCAAUGGUAAUAUGAGAAAAAAAUUAGAAGAAUUUGAAUGACAUGAACUCACUUCACCUGUUGACCAGUAAACUUCCUGCUGAGAAUUUCAAUUUGAUUGAUUGAUUGUUAUUGUUGCAAAAGUACACAACAAAGAAGAAGGGAGGACUUUAAUACUUGUCACCAUUAUUCACCUGUUAUGCCUUCUUUGUCAAACUCGUAUUAUUCUAGUUAGCUUAUUAUGUAUGCAUAUGGCAUAUAUAUAACGAAAUCAGCCCUAUUAAGUAAAUAAUAAAUGUGAAGUCUGAUAAAUAAGUGUGAAUAAUGAAUACAUGUAAUUGAUAUAGGUGAAGAGUCUGUCUUGCUGACAUCUGCUAAUAUAAGAGAACUUUAAUUAAAUACUUUUCACCAUUAUUUCACCUUUUCCGCCACGGAAAUAUUAGGCUAUCAGCAGAUUUGAGGGGUGUAUCAGCGAGACACUCCACAUUUUUUCAUCAUAUUUAUUCUUCACAGUUAUUCUUUAUAUUUAGUCUUCAUGUUUACUUUUUGUACGUUUAUUUUUUUCAUAUUACUCCUUCAUAAUCCUCCGCUCAGCUGAUGUAUACAUAUUUUUUUUACAACAAAGGGGACAGCUCAAGGGCACAAAAUAAAAGGAAACGAUAAUAACAAAAAAAAAAAAAA